Molecule: ribosomal RNA, 253 nt
Filed under: uncultured bacterium
Lineage: Bacteria
Description: partial 16S ribosomal RNA
Rfam family: Bacterial small subunit ribosomal RNA
Source: RNAcentral
UACGGAGGAUGCAAGCGUUAUCCGGAAUCAUUGGGUUUAAAGGGUCCGCAGGCGGGUUGUUAAGUCAGGGGUGAAAUCUUACAGCUCAACUGUAAAAUUGCCUUUGAUACUGGCAAUCUUGAAUCAUUAUGAAGUGGUUAGAAUGUGUAGUGUAGCGGUGAAAUGCUUAGAUAUUACACAGAAUACCGAUUGCGAAGGCAGAUCACUAACAAUGUAUUGACGCUCAGGGACGAAAGCGUGGGGAGAAAACAGG